GGGAAUCUACCUUUUGCUACGGAACAACAGUUGGAAACGACUGCUAAUACCGUAUGUGCCCCCCUUUAAAAUUUCAGGAUACAUAAAAUGCCCUGGCAUUUUAUGGGGGGGAAAGAUUUAUCGGCAAAGGAUGAGCCCGCGUUGGAUUAGCUAGUUGGUGAGGUAAAGGCUCACCAAGGCGACGAUCCAUAGCUGGUCUGAGAGGAUGAUCAGCCACACUGGGACUGAGACACGGCCCAGACUCCUACGGGAGGCAGCAGUGGGGAAUAUUGGACAAUGGGCGCAAGCCUGAUCCAGCCAUGCCGCGUGAGUGAUGAAGGCCCUAGGGUUGUAAAGCUCUUUCACCGGUGAAGAUAAUGACGGUAACCGGAGAAGAAGCCCCGGCUAACUUCGUGCCAGCAGCCGCGGUAAUACGAAGGGGGCUAGCGUUGUUCGGAUUUACUGGGCGUAAAGCGCACGUAGGCGGAUUUUUAAGUCAGGGGUGAAAUCCCGGGGCUCAACCCCGGAACUGCCUUUGAUACUGGAAGUCUUGAGUAUGGUAGAGGUGAGUGGAAUUCCGAGUGUAGAGGUGAAAUUCGUAGAUAUUCGGAGGAACACCAGUGGCGAAGGCGGCUCACUGGACCAUUACUGACGC
Molecule: ribosomal RNA, 634 nt
Filed under: Brucella pituitosa
Lineage: Bacteria; Pseudomonadati; Pseudomonadota; Alphaproteobacteria; Hyphomicrobiales; Brucellaceae
Description: bacterial SSU rRNA
Rfam family: Bacterial small subunit ribosomal RNA
Source: RNAcentral